This 445-nucleotide ribosomal RNA is filed under the name uncultured bacterium. RNAcentral describes it as "partial 16S ribosomal RNA". It matches the Rfam family "Bacterial small subunit ribosomal RNA", at positions 354 to 796 of the family's 1533-position model. The record is from RNAcentral.
GUGAGGAAUAUUGGUCAAUGGGCGGGAGCCUGAACCAGCCAAGUCGCGUGAAGGAAGAAGGAUCUAUGGUUCGUAAACUUCUUUUGCAGGGGAAUAAAGUGCAGGACGUGUCCUGUUUUGUAUGUACCCUGAGAAUAAGGAUCGGCUAACUCCGUGCCAGCAGCCGCGGUAAUACGGAGGAUCCGAGCGUUAUCCGGAUUUAUUGGGUUUAAAGGGUGCGUAGGUGGUUUGAUAAGUCAGCGGUGAAAGUUUGCAGCUUAACUGCAGAACGGCCAUUGAUACUGAUAGCCUUGAGUUUGGUUAAGGUAGGCGGAAUGUGUAAUGUAGCGGUGAAAUGCUUAGAUAUUACACAGAACACCAAUUGCGUAGGCAGCUUACUGAGCCGACACUGACGCUGAGGCACGAAAGCGUGGGGAUCGAACAGGAUUAGAAACCCCGGUAGUCC